CUCCUGACCUCAAGUGAUCCCACAUGCCUUGGACUCCCAAAGUGCUGGGAUUACAGGUAUGAGCCACUGCACCCAGCAAAUUAACUUUUUCAUGUAGAAAACAGAUCACAGAUAAAAGCUCCUCACAUAUUUUGAAGGUCAAAAGAAAAUUUGCUGUUGUUAAUAAUUGCCUUUGAACCAUCAAAGAGGAAAAACUAAGACUAUUUGAGCAACUUGUUGAGACUUAAACUAACUUAUCAAACUUAGCAGAAUUAAUUUGUGAGUAUUAAGUGAAGUUAGUUUAUAUAGAUGCUUCAUCUUUUCUGUUCUAUCAUGUGAAUGAAAUGGCUUACAGUAAGUUCAUACACAGUUACUUUUAUCUACAAAUGUAGAAAUCUUACCUAUUUGAGAUUUACUCCCUGAAACUAUGCAUAUUGAGAGAGAGUUCAUAGAAAUAUUAUCUGAGAAACCUGAGUUUGAUUUUCUCUUUGUGACAUACCUGUUAAUGUCACUUUUAAACAAACCACUUAACCUAUGUCAUCUUCAGUUUCUUCUGUAAAGUGCUGAUAAUAAUGAUACCUACCAGUAUUGUUAUGAAGUUCAAAUGGGGCCCCCUAUCCACAACACUUAGUAGGUGUUAAAUGAAUGUAUUUUGGUACUUGAACAAAAAGUGGUUAGUUAUGAUAGUUUAUUUUUUUCUAACAAAUUUACUAUCUUAUAUAAAAAGAAAUAGCUAGGACUUCCUGUGGUAUCCUAUCAUUUUUUUACAAUCAAACAAAAUUAAUAUUCUCCUCUGACUAAACCAUUAAUUUAACAAAUCUCAAACCUCUACUAUAUGCCAAUAAGUAUUCUAGGCCUGAGUGUAUUGCAGGGCACAAAACAGUUAUUUCUGACCCUUAUGGGAUUUUUAUUUUAAUUGGUUAGUAAAAUAGUUUACCAUAUGGUGACAAGGUUAUAUGGGGAAAGUAAGUUGAGGAAGAGGUUGAGAGAGUGUGUGAGGAUAGGAUUGCUAAUAAGUAGACUGUACACUGAUAUUUUGUAAUUUUAAGUCAGGACAUGGAUGAAACCACUCAGAGAGUAAGUGUAGCCAGAGGAUAGCACUUAAUUGUAGACAUGUAAUCAAUUAAAUUCAAGGCCAACUUUUGUGACUUUUCAAGUAGAAAUAAAAUGUUAACAUUUUCUACCACACAUAUACAAACCAUUAUUUUCUAUAAUGUUAUAGAAGCACUAAGAUUUAAGAAGCAAGAUUGAUAAUAGUUACCAAAUACAUAAGCAAAUGGCAAAUUGAGUUGAGGAGGGAAUGUCACUUUAUUCUUAAAAUGAAGCUUUUUGUUUUGAAAUAAUAGUUUUUUUGUAUUAAGAAUAACAUCUAGAGUGCUAGUUUCUUUUUCUCAUAGUUGGAAAUUGCUAUUCCAAUUCAAUUUGACAGUUUUAGCACUAGAGGGCAGGCUUACUUCUAGAUUUUGAAGAGUUCUAAAUGAAUAAUAUAGCUGAAGAGUGCAGGUUGUGCAUCCUUAACUCAAAAAUCUGAAAUUCAAAAUGCUCCAAAUCCAAAACUUUUUGAGUGUUGACAUGAUGCCACAAGUGGAAAAGUCCACACCUGACCACAUGUGAUGGGUCACAGUCAAAAUGCAAUGGCACAACAGUUAACUCUCUUCCCAAGAGAAAAGUAAAAUUAGCUUCAGGCUAUGUGUAAAACAUGUAUAUGAAACAAAUGAAUUUCAUGUUUAGGCUUGGGUCCUAUCUCCAAGAUAUCUCAUUAUGAAUAUGCAAAUAUUCAAAGAUUAAAAAAAAAAUCUAAAACACUUCUGGCCCCAAGCAUUUCAGAUAAGGGAUAUUGAACUUGUACCUACAUUCAAUCUCAAUGAAUGCAGUUGUUUCUUAUGUGACAAGCUUACCAUCUACUAUGUUUUUUUCUAGUGCUGGGAAAGCAUAAAAUAAGGCUAAUCGAUUUUAGUACAUCUAGGACUGGCAGUUGAUAUUAAUAUACAUUUGAACAUAAAGUCCAAGGAAACUCAAGUGUAGCUUACUAUAAUUAUACUCAGAUUUGAUAUAGAAGGUCUGCCACCACAUAUAUGAACAUUAAAGCCAGUCAGAAGAAAGCCUAGACGUAACAUUUUUUCAAAAAAAUAAUUAUUUGCUGGGCAUUAUAUGAGUGAGGCUACAAAGAUGAAUAAAAUACAGUCCCUGCCUAAAUAAGCUUUGUUGUAGCAUCUUACGGCACUUAAUACCUUGUUCUAUGUCUAUUUAAAUGUCUUUCUCCCUUGAAUAAUAGAAAUCCUGACUCUUAUUUUUGGUGCCUCCAAGUGCCCAUCAUACAUUUCAGUUUAUAGUGGUUGAACAUAAGAAUAAUGAGAGACAUGAAAAUAAGAAAACCAGGCCAGGGAACUGGGACCUUUGAAAAAAAACCUAUUUUCACAUUCUUACCCUUACAGAGAGGUUUUUCCUAUUAACAUGUCUAAAGGUGAUUAUGGAGACAAUUCUAACCUUCUAUCUUUGCUCCCACUUCUUCUAGCUGGCUUUAUCCCCCAUUCCUUAAGAGCAGUUAUUGGCAGCCAUAGAGAGUGGGAGAUCAAGCCUUUUUUUAUAGUCAUUGCAGUAAACAGGAGAGAGAGAUGUGGAAGAUGGGAGGUUCUCUCUAUCUGGCUUACAUCAUUUCGAGAAGUUUGACGGGAAAUGGAACCUUCUGGAAUGAAGUUUUUUUUCCCACUUUUCACCUGGAAAGUUUUCCCAUACAUGGUUCUCUUGCUCCCUGGUCCUUUUAGCAUCCCUAUUUCUACAUAUUAGUUCUAUCAUUUCCUUGUCUGUAACAUGAGGAUAAUAAUAGUUCUUAUAGGAUUAUUUUGAGGAUGAAAUAAAAUGCAUGCAGUAAAUAUUAGCUACUCUUUGCUAUCAGAAAAGCAUCAAUUGAACUUCACAGGAUGGAUUUGUGUUCAAUAAGUGUUAUAUAUAGUAGAGUCAAAUGGAAAAAUUUACCAAGAUAAAUUUUUUCAUUGAUAAUAUAUUUGGGGAGUACAUGUGAUAAUAUAUAUUCAUAUAAUUAAAUCAAGAUAAUUGGGAUUUAUAUCACCUUAAAUGUUUAUGUUUUCUUUAGGAACAUUCAAAUUCUCUUUAGCUAUUUUGAAAUGUGCAAUAGAUUAAUGUUAAUUAUAGUCAUCCUAAUGGUCUAUUGAACAUCAGGUCUUAUUUAUUCUAUCUACAUAGAUAUAUUUAGAAAUGCAAAUCUCUUAGGAAAUUAAUCUCUAAUGUCAAUGAUGCACACUAAUUUGUAUUAUUUGCUUUCUUAAUGUAGACGGUAUAGUGAAAUGGUUCCUUAAAUGGAUGCUAAAUAUGACUAAAUGAAUAACCAAUUUACAGUGCACUUGGUACCAAGUAGUAAAUGCUCAGUAACAUGUCUUUAAAAAAAGGAUUGGUUUAAUAUCAUAGAAAUGACUCUAUAUUUUAAAAAUAUAAAUAUUAAAAAUUAUAAAGCCAAAAUACUAUAAUGUCUUAUUACAAUGAUUCUCUUAAAUUAAUUUUUUUAAAAUUAGGUAACAGGAACCUAUUCCAAAACAAGUUUUAUCUAGAAGCACAGUAUUAAAAACAGAAAGCUAAAAUACUCCGGUUCAAGUGGGAAGCUCCUCUUCCCCACUGCUAGUAUUAUUUCUGAAAAACCUCAGAGGAACCCCUUGUUCUCUAAAUAGCAUGUUUUAAAAACCACUGCUUGCACAUUUACACCUUGACUCAUCAAACAUAUGAACAAAGUAAUAGAGUGAGAAAACUGAAUUUCUAUUGAAGUGGUUGGUGUUUGGAAUAACAUGAAAAAUAUUCCAAGUAUCUUUGGAAAUACACCAGAACUAUAAGCUUUAUGAUAAUUCUGUCUUAGAUUCGUUAUCUAGAGCUGGUCUUAAAAAGAUUGAUAUGUAAGAACUACCAAGAGAGACUUGGAGUAGAUAUACGAAUGAAUGAAUGAAUGAAUGAAUGAAUAUCCGUGGGCCAAGGCUUUGCUAUGCUCUCUUAUUACACAGGAUAACAGAGUAUGGCUCCUAAUUUCUACCUUUGAAGAUUAUGAUCCUUGAAACAGCUCUGUGCACAGAGACCAUGUUAUUCAUAGAUGUUCCUCACUUGUUUCCACCACAUAAUAAGGUAUUUAUUGAAUAAAUGCUUAUUGAAUGAAUGAAUGAAAAAACUUAUAUCUCACUUUGUUCCUAGACUGCAAGUUACUUAAAAGAUAUGGGCUGUGUUUUACUUACCUUUCAUGUCCAGCAAAUUGAGUUUGCUUACUAAAUUAAUGAAUUAAUGAACAAAUGUACACAUAUGUCUGUUAAACGUUUACAUAUCCAUGCUCCCAUUAGACUAAGAUUCUUGAGGGCAGAAACCAUGUCUUUAGCUCUCAGCAUAGUGUCUGACUCAUAGUAGGUUGUCAAAAACAUUUGCAGAACUGAUUAAACUUAAGUUUAAGUAGUACUGGAGCAGUCUCAUAUAACCUGGCACAGUGUCUUCUAAAUAGACGCUAAAAUUAUUUCAUAAAGACAGAGAUCUCACUAAGCAUUUUCUGUGCUAGUGCCGGUUAAAUAAUAUGAGCAACAAGCUAUAGGAGUUCAGAGGAGAGUGAGCUCUGUGGACUGAAACAGUCAAGGUGGAUUUUCAGAGCCGAUGAGACUUGAUGAAGCCUGGGGCUACUUUGGUGUUUUAAGAACAUUAAUUAGGCAGCAGGAAAAUCUGAGGACAGGUAGACCAGUAAGGAAGGCUAGAAAGAACCCUAGAUUUGGAGUUCGGAAAUCUGUGUUCAGAGUCCUUGCUUUGCCUGUUAGUGACUAUGGGACCUUGAGAAGAUAACUUCACCUCCCUUUUCCUCUUCUGUGAGGUAGAGGUAAGAUUGAUGUACAUAUUGAUAUUGUACUUUAAAAUGUUUGUAAAAUGCUAAGUAAAACAAUGCUAUGCUUUGAAUGUAGUGGGUUCCAAAUACUUGUUUAAACAUAGAAUAAAUGGUAUUGGCUAAUGAAAAUAUUGGAGCCACUGGAAUGUCACCUUCUGCAUCUGCUAGUAAACCUGUUAACACUUACGGAGGAAAAAAAAAGUUAAUAUGUGAAGCCACUGAAUCUCAUGAUCAGAAGAAAAACUUUUUGAAACUCCUAUGAGACUCCAAAGUUAUGUCAGAGGUGACUAAGUCAUGAGUUUUUCAUGCUGAUAUUAUUUCUAAGGUUGCUGCCUUGUUGGAAGAAGCAAACCACAAGAUAACCCAUUCAGAAAAUCUUUUUUUAAAAAAAAGCUUCCUGAAGGAUGGAUGGUUCAUUUGUUCUAACUGCUUGUCACUUUACUUACUAAUGAGUCAUUUUUCCCCUUAACUAGUAAUUUGUUUUAAAUUUGGUCAUAUGAUGGUAUGUUGACUAGUCCAAUGUUACAAAAUAAUUGGAAAAAAGAUGACAGACCACCAACUGAAUAAGGGAAAUUUGGUUCUUCUUGAGCUUCCAAUGUAUCAAUUUAAUGCUAAGCUUAGUCUUUAUGAUGUAAGAUUGGAUUUAUUGGAACGUUUUAUGUCCAGAAGUUGCAGCACCUUUUCAUUGUCUCUGGAACACCCAAGAUGUCUACUGCAUCCUGUAGACAUUGAGGGUUUCCCCCCUCAUCCUGGUUCUGAUUGUUUUUAAAGAAACAUCCUUUCCUUCUUACCCAUUAUGGAGACACUACUAACCUUGUAUAUUUAUUAGAGUGCUGAUAACAUAUUACAGUAGCAUACUUACAUAUCUGUUUUCUUAACUGUGAGCUCCUUGAGAGCAGGGACUAUGUGUUUUUGCUUUUAUUUCACCAGUACUCAGAACUAUCCACAGUAUAGAAAACCACUCAAUAAAUGGAACAAAUGAAAAUAGAUAAAUAAAUGAUUUCACUUGUAUAA
This is a long non-coding RNA of Sapajus apella (tufted capuchin), 5851 nucleotides long. RefSeq lists it as uncharacterized. The transcript has 2 exons. NCBI's taxonomy places the organism in Eukaryota, Metazoa, Chordata, Mammalia, Primates, Cebidae. The record is from RefSeq and is a predicted model, not a curated record.